AGAAUCAACGCUGGCGGCGUGCCUAACACAUGCAAGUCGCACGAGAAAGGGGAGCAAUCCCUGAGUACAGUGGCGCACGGGUGAGUAACACGUGAAUUAUCUACCUCCGAGUGGGGAAUAACUGAGAGAAAUCUUAGCUAAUACCGCAUAAUACCCACGGGUCAAAGCAGCAAUGCGCUUGGAGAGGAGUUCGCGGCAGAUUAGUUAGUUGGCGGGUAAUGGCCCACAAGACGAUGAUCUGUAUCCGG
RNAcentral lists this ribosomal RNA (248 nucleotides) under uncultured bacterium. Its description in RNAcentral is "partial small subunit ribosomal RNA". It matches the Rfam family "Bacterial small subunit ribosomal RNA", at positions 26 to 290 of the family's 1533-position model. The record is from RNAcentral.